This 645-nucleotide ribosomal RNA is filed under the name Tanytarsus formosanus. RNAcentral describes it as "partial 28S ribosomal RNA". It matches the Rfam family "Eukaryotic large subunit ribosomal RNA", at positions 428 to 947 of the family's 3401-position model. Lineage: Eukaryota; Metazoa; Arthropoda; Insecta; Diptera; Chironomidae. The record is from RNAcentral.
UAUCUAAACGGAGAGAUUCAAUACUGAACUUAACACUCAGUGUGCACUUCUCUCUUAGUAAGACGUCGUGAUCCAUUAGAAAUUGGUAGACGCCAGUCUAUAUGAGGUCAUCAAUGAGCUUACAUGAAGUUUAUCGGAACAAAUGGCGAGAUCUUUCAACGGUCACGUGUAUUGUCUGGUAAGCAUGUGAGUACUCGUAAUGACUGUCUGAUGGAUUUUAAAGAUUAUAUCAUUGAUGNUNNCAUCACUCGCUUCGNNNNNNNCUCGAUAUAUAUCCGAUCAACGGCGGUUAAAUUUGGGAUACCUUUUGGACCCGUCUUGAAACACGGACCAAGGAGUCUAUCUAAUGUGCGAGUAAAUGGGUAACUUAUGAAACCUAUUUGCGUAAUAAACGUAACUAUUUUAUGGGAUUACGAGGCUGACUCUAACAGGUCACCUCUUCCAUCCCGGAGUAUUUUCAUCCACAUAUACGCAAGUAUAUGGAAAAUAUAUCAUGAGCAUAUUGGAUACGACCCGAAAGAUGGUGAACUAUGCUUGAUCAGGUCGAAGUCAGGGGAAACCCUGAUGGAGGANCGAAGCAGUUCUGACGUGCAAAUCGAUUGUCAGAAUUGAGCAUAGGGGCGAAAGACCAAUCGAACCAUCUAG